RNAcentral lists this ribosomal RNA (903 nucleotides) under uncultured archaeon. Its description in RNAcentral is "bacterial SSU rRNA". It matches the Rfam family "Archaeal small subunit ribosomal RNA", at positions 1 to 824 of the family's 1478-position model. The record is from RNAcentral.
UCCAACCUUUUCCGGGCGAUUUGGGCCCGACGUCGCAUGCUCCCGGCCGCCAUGGCGGCCGCGGGAAUUCGAUUUCCGGUUGAUCCUGCCAGAGGCCACUGCUAUGGGGGUCCGACUAAGCCAUGCGAGUCAUGGGGCGCGCUCUGCGCGCACCGGCGGACGGCUCAGUAACACGUCGGUAACCUACCCUCGGGAGGGGGAUAACCCCGGGAAACUGGGGCUAAUCCCCCAUAGGCCUGAGGUACUGGAAGGUCCUCAGGCCGAAAGGGGCAUCUGCCCGCCCGAGGAUGGGCCGGCGGCCGAUUAGGUAGUUGGUGGGGUAACGGCCCACCAAGCCGAAGAUCGGUACGGGCCAUGAGAGUGGGAGCCCGGAGAUGGACACUGAGACACGGGUCCAGGCCCUACGGGGCGCAGCAGGCGCGAAACCUCCGCAAUGCGGGCAACCGCGACGGGGGGACCCCCAGUGCCGUGGCAUCGCCACGGCUUUUCCGGAGUGUAAAAAGCUCCGGGAAUAAGGGCUGGGCAAGGCCGGUGGCAGCCGCCGCGGUAAUACCGGCGGCCCGAGUGGUGGCCGCUAUUAUUGGGCCUAAAGCGUCCGUAGCCGGGCCCGUAAGUCCCUGGCGAAAUCCCACGGCUCAACCGUGGGGCUUGCUGGGGAUACUGCGGGCCUUGGGACCGGGAGAGGCCGGGGGUACCCCUGGGGUAGGGGUGAAAUCCUAUAAUCCCAGGGGGACCGCCAGUGGCGAAGGCGCCCGGCUGGAACGGGUCCGACGGUGAGGGACGAAGGCCAGGGGAGCGAACCGGAUUAGAUACCCGGGUAGUCCUGGCUGUAAAGGAUGCGGGCUAGGUGUCGGGCGAGCUUCCAGCUCGUCCGGUGCCGAAGGGAAGCCGUUUAAGCCCCGC